This 615-nucleotide ribosomal RNA is filed under the name Salmonella enterica. RNAcentral describes it as "partial 23S ribosomal RNA". It matches the Rfam family "Bacterial large subunit ribosomal RNA", at positions 1 to 644 of the family's 2925-position model. Lineage: Bacteria; Pseudomonadati; Pseudomonadota; Gammaproteobacteria; Enterobacterales; Enterobacteriaceae. The record is from RNAcentral.
GGGUUGUGAGGUUAAGCGACUAAGCGUACACGGUGGAUGCCCUGGCAGUCAGAGGCGAUGAAGGGCGUGCUAAUCUGCGAUAAGCGCCGGUAAGGUGAUAUGAACCGUUAUAACCGGCGAUACCCGAAUGGGGAAACCCAGUGUGAUUCGUCACACUAUCAUUAACUGAAUCCAUAGGUUAAUGAGGCGAACCGGGGGAACUGAAACAUCUAAGUACCCCGAGGAAAAGAAAUCAACCGAGAUUCCCCCAGUAGCGGCGAGCGAACGGGGAGGAGCCCAGAGCCUGAAUCAGCAUGUGUGUUAGUGGAAGCGUCUGGAAAGGCGCGCGAUACAGGGUGACAGCCCCGUACACAAAAGCGCAUGUGCUGUGAGCUCGAUGAGUAGGGCGGGACACGUGGUAUCCUGUCUGAAUAUGGGGGGACCAUCCUCCAAGGCUAAAUACUCCUGACUGACCGAUAGUGAACCAGUACCGUGAGGGAAAGGCGAAAAGAACCCCGGCGAGGGGAGUGAAAAAGAACCUGAAACCGUGUACGUACAAGCAGUGGGAGCACAGGUUUACCGGUGUGACUGCGUACCUUUUGUAUAAUGGGUCAGCGACUUAUAUUCUGUAGCAAG